RNAcentral lists this ribosomal RNA (468 nucleotides) under uncultured bacterium. RNAcentral describes it as "partial 16S ribosomal RNA". It matches the Rfam family "Bacterial small subunit ribosomal RNA", at positions 28 to 507 of the family's 1533-position model. The record is from RNAcentral.
GACGAACGCUGGCGGCGUGCUUAACACAUGCAAGUCGAACGGAAAGGCCCUGCUUUUGUGGGGUUCUCGAGUGGCGAACGGGUGAGUAACACGUGAGUAACCUGCCCUUGACUUUGGGAUAACUUCAGGAAACUGGGGCUAAUACCGUAUAGGAUCUCCUGCUGCAUGGUGGGGGUUGGAAAGUUUCGGCGGUUGGGGAUGGACUCGCGGCUUAUCAGCUUGUUGGUGGGGUAGUGGCUGACCAAGGCUUUGACGGGUAGCCGGCCUGAGAGGGUGACCGGCGACAUUGGGACUGAGGGACGGACCAGACUCCUACGGGAGGCAGCAGGGGGGAAUAUUGCACAAUGGGAGGAAGCCUGAUGCAGCAACGCCGCGUGCGGGAUGACGGCCUUCGGGUUGUAAACCGCUUUCGCCUGUGACGAAGCGUGAGUGACGGUAAUGGGUAAAGAAGCACCGGCUAACUACGUG